Molecule: ribosomal RNA, 448 nt
Filed under: uncultured Turicibacter sp.
Lineage: Bacteria; Bacillati; Bacillota; Erysipelotrichia; Erysipelotrichales; Turicibacteraceae
Description: bacterial SSU rRNA
Rfam family: Bacterial small subunit ribosomal RNA
Source: RNAcentral
GCAAGUCGAGCGGAACCACUCGGUGGGAAGCGGCGAACGGGUAGGAGUAACGACUAGGUAAGUACUGCCAGUCAGACGGGGACAAACGAUUGGUAAACGAAUACGCGUAAUAACCGGAUAGGACGAAAGUUUAAAGAUGCUCCUGGCAUCACUGAUGGAUGAGCCUGCGGCGCAUUAGCUAGUUGGUGGGGUAAAGGCCUACCAAGGCGACGAUGCGUAGCCGACCUGAGAGGGUGAACGGCCACACUGGGACUGAGACACGGCCCAGACUCCUACGGGAGGCAGCAGUAGGGAAUCUUCGGCAAUGGGCGAAAGCCUGACCGAGCAGCGCCGCGUGAAUGAAGAAGGCCUUCGGGUUGUAAAAUUCUGUUAUAAGGGAAGAAAGGUGAUAGGAGGAAAUGACUAUCAAUUGACGGUACCUUAUGAGGAAGCCACGGCUAACUACGUG